This 406-nucleotide ribosomal RNA is filed under the name uncultured bacterium. RNAcentral describes it as "partial 16S ribosomal RNA". It matches the Rfam family "Bacterial small subunit ribosomal RNA", at positions 29 to 526 of the family's 1533-position model. The record is from RNAcentral.
AUUGAACGCUGGCGGCAGGCUUAACACAUGCAAGUCGAGCGAGCGGCGGACGGGUGAGUAAUGUCUGGGAAACUGCCUGAUGGAGGGGGAUAACUACUGGAAAAGGUAGCUAAUAACGCAUACCAUCAGAUGUGCCCAGAUGGGAUUAGCGAGUAGGUGGGGUAAUGGCUCACCUAGGCGACGAUGCCUAGCUGGUCUGAGAGGAUGACCAGACACACUGGACCUGAGACAGGGCCCAGACUCUUAGGGGAGGCAGCAGUGGUGAAUAUUGCACAAUGGGCGCAAGCCUGAUGCAGCCAAGCCGCGUGUGUGAAGAAGGCCUUAGGGUUGUAAAGCAAUGUCAGCGAGGAGGCGUUACUUGAAGAAGAGGCACCGGCUAACUCCGUGCCAGCAGCCGCGGUAAUAC